Molecule: ribosomal RNA, 460 nt
Filed under: uncultured bacterium
Lineage: Bacteria
Description: partial 16S ribosomal RNA
Rfam family: Bacterial small subunit ribosomal RNA
Source: RNAcentral
CCUACGGGAGGCAGCAGUGAGGAAUAUUGGUCAAUGGGCUUACGCCUGAACCAGCCAAGUCGCGUGAGGGAAGACUGCCCUAUGGGUUGUAAACCUCUUUUGUCAGGGAGCAACGCCGGCUACGUGUAGCCGGACUGAGAGUACCUGAAGAAAAAGCAUCGGCUAACUCCGUGCCAGCAGCCGCGGUAAUACGGAGGAUGCGAGCGUUAUCCGGAUUUAUUGGGUUUAAAGGGUGCGUAGGCGGAAUGCCAAGUCAGCGGUAAAAUCGGGGGGCUCAACCUCGCUCCGCCGUUGAAACUGGCGUGCUUGAGUGGGCGAGAGGUGUGCGGAAUGCGUGGUGUAGCGGUGAAAUGCAUAGAUAUCACGCAGAACUCCGAUUGCGAAGGCAGCAUACCGGCGCCCAACUGACGCUGAAGCACGAAAGCGUGGGUAUCGAACAGGAUUAGAUACCCUGGUAGUC